RNAcentral lists this ribosomal RNA (253 nucleotides) under uncultured bacterium. RNAcentral describes it as "partial 16S ribosomal RNA". It matches the Rfam family "Bacterial small subunit ribosomal RNA", at positions 524 to 776 of the family's 1533-position model. The record is from RNAcentral.
UACGUAGGGGGCAAGCGUUGUCCGGAUUUAUUGGGCGUAAAGAGCGUGUAGGCGGCCAGGUAGGUCGGCUGUGAAAACUCGAGGCUCAACCUCGAGAUGUCGGCCGAAACCAUCUGGCUAGAGUCCGGAAGAGGAGAGUGGAAUUCCCGGUGUAGCGGUGAAAUGCGCAGAUAUCGGGAAGAACACCCGUGGCGAAGGCGGCUCUCUGGGACGGUACUGACGCUGAGACGCGAAAGCGUGGGGAGCGAACAGG